Molecule: long non-coding RNA, 308 nt
Organism: Apodemus sylvaticus (European woodmouse)
Lineage: Eukaryota; Metazoa; Chordata; Mammalia; Rodentia; Muridae
Exons: 3
Source: RefSeq, a predicted model, not a curated record
GACAAGCCAAUAAGCAGCACCCCUCUAUGGCCUGUGCAUAGGUUUGUGGUUCCAGGUUCCUGUUUGAGUUCUUGUCCUGACUUCCUUCAGUGAUGAACAGUGAUACAGAAGUAUCCCACAGGUUCUUCUCCUAUAGUGUCAUCCCAGCUGGCUUAAGACCUUGGAGGAUCACUGUAGCUCUGUCACAUUUAAGGUGUCCUCAGACAGCAGAAAACAUCAUCUUUUUGAAGAGUGCUACAAUUUUUCCAGUCACCUCUUAUAACUGCAUGCCAAAGAAGGACUCCAUGAAAGAUGACAGAAGAAGUCAU